RNAcentral lists this long non-coding RNA (683 nucleotides) under Anser brachyrhynchus (Pink-footed goose). RNAcentral's name for it is "lncRNA (ENSABRG00000000539.1)". The record is from RNAcentral. Lineage: Eukaryota; Metazoa; Chordata; Aves; Anseriformes; Anatidae.
CCCAAGACAACUUAAAGUGUUUGUGGACAACCACUAUCAAAACUUGUAGAGAUGGAAAACCUUUCUUCCUAAAGAGUUCAGCAUACUCCAGAUCUGUUUGACCGCUUUAAGGAGGCCUCGUAUAUGCAAGCAGAGCUAAGGGACAAGGACCAGAAUCUUGGGGUAAGAUGGUGGACAAGCACCUCACCAGCUUCUGUGGGAGCACCUGUCACAUCAUGCAAUCUUCAGGAACACCUCCAGUUUGUCAACAGUCUGGUCUCAGCCCAGGACUGAGCAAGAAGGUGCUUCAUUUAAUGAGAAUGACUUCACUCAGAAAAAGACAGAAGAACAGAUUGCAACACCAGGAGGGAAAAGAGCUGUCAGUUAUAACACAGGAGGUUCUUCAUAACUCAGAAGAUGGCUGCAACAACCCUGACCCCAUGAGGAUUUCAGUGCUGCACAAGCACUCUGCUCUGUUGGUGGCAUGUUCCACCCCAGAGAUGGCUGGCUGUAAUCCUUUACAGACACUAAGAUAAAAGAGAAGGCUGACAAGGUUUUUCAAGAUGCCAUUAAAUGAAGAGUGGUGAUGAUUCUCUUAGAUUUGCUUUGAUGAAAGUGUUAUAUAACCUCUGGAAUUACAGUGAGAAAGAUAAAGACCCUUGGGCAGGAAGAUUGGCAGAUGGAAUGGGAGACAAGGAACAGAG